Molecule: RNase P RNA, 486 nt
Filed under: Pyrinomonadaceae bacterium
Lineage: Bacteria; Pseudomonadati; Acidobacteriota; Blastocatellia; Blastocatellales; Pyrinomonadaceae
Description: RNase P RNA component class A
Rfam family: Bacterial RNase P class A
About the family: Ribonuclease P (RNase P) is a ubiquitous endoribonuclease, found in archaea, bacteria and eukarya as well as chloroplasts and mitochondria. Its best characterised activity is the generation of mature 5'-ends of tRNAs by cleaving the 5'-leader elements of precursor-tRNAs. Cellular RNase Ps are ribonucleoproteins.
Source: RNAcentral
AGUGCGAACUGGGCGGUCGCUGCCUCGCUUUCGGGUGAGGGAGAGGAAAGUCCGAACACUACAGGGCAGCGAGCCAGCUAACGGCUGGGCGCAGGGCGAAUGGGGUGGCCUUUGAGGUUUUUUGCCCGUUCGCCGUGUGACGACAAGUGCAACAGAGAAUAAUCCAGCCAACGCGAGUUGAAUGACGUUAGUUGUUUUUAGUCGCGUUGGUGAUGGGUGAAACGGUGCGGCUUCUGAGUAAUGAAGCUUAAUGUAAGAGCGCACCAGCGCGUGUGGUGACACAACGCGGCUAGGCAAACUCCUCGCAGUGCAAGACCAAAUAGGGAGACGGUUUGAGGGCGGCCCGUCCUCGUGAAAGCUUUUUGGCUUUCCCCGUCUCCGGGUAGGUCGCUCGAUCCGUUUGGCGACAAACGGGCUAGAUGAAUGAUCGCCGCUUUGCCUUUAACAAGCGAAGAACAGAAUUCGGCUUACAGGGUCGCGCUGCUU